GAAUCACAGACACGAGAAGGCUUGGUUUUAUUAGGAGCCAAAGACGCAUUUAUGACCUUCCUGCUGCUACAUGUAUGGCAAAACAGAAGACCGCAAUUAUAACAGUUAUGUUUCUUCCUUGUAAGUCCAAAGAGCAUCCUACAACCACUACAAGCUGACUGAUCAGAAACAGAGAUUGAUUUGUGCAGACAGAUUACAGCAGUUAAAUUUGAUCCACAAGUUACACUUUCAACCUGCCUGUUUCU
This 245-nucleotide unclassified non-coding RNA is filed under the name Hevea brasiliensis (rubber tree). The record is from RNAcentral. Lineage: Eukaryota; Viridiplantae; Streptophyta; Magnoliopsida; Malpighiales; Euphorbiaceae.